AAGCAGCCAUCAUUUAAAGAAAGCGUAAUAGCUCACUGGUCGAGUCGGCCUGCGCGGAAGAUGUAACGGGGCUAAACCAUGCACCGAAGCUGCGGCAGCGACGCUGAUGCGUUGUUGGGUAGGGGAGCGUUCUGUAAGCCUGUGAAGGUGGCCUGUGAGGGUUGCUGGAGGUAUCAGAAGUGCGAAUGCUGACAUAAGUAACGAUAAAGCGGGUGAAAAGCCCGCUCGCCGGAAGACCAAGGGUUCCUGUCCAACGUUAAUCGGGGCAGGGUGAGUCGACCCCUAAGGCGAGGCCGAAAGGCGUAGUCGAUGGGAAACGGGUUAAUAUUCCCGUACUUGGUGUUACUGCGAAGGGGGGACGGAGAAGGCUAUGUUGGCCGGGCGACGGUUGUCCCGGUUUAAGCGUGUAGGCUGGUUUUCCAGGCAAAUCCGGAAAAUCAAGGCUGAGGCGUGACGACGAGGCACUACGGUGCUGAAGCAACAAAUGCCCUGCUUCCAGGAAAAGCCUCUAAGCAUCAGGUAACAUCAAAUCGUACCCCAAACCGACACAGGUGGUCAGGUAGAGAAUACCAAGGCGCUUGAGAGAACUCGGGUGAAGGAACUAGGCAAAAUGGUGCCGUAACUUCGGGAGAAGGCACGCUGACACGUAGGUGAAGUGAUUUACUCAUGGAGCUGAAGUCAGUCGAAGAUACCAGCUGGCUGCAACUGUUUAUUAAAAACACAGCACUGUGCAAACACGAAAGUGGACGUAUACGGUGUGACGCCUGCCCGGUGCCGGAAGGUUAAUUGAUGGGGUCAGCGCAAGCGAAGCUCCUGAUCGAAGCCCCGGUAAACGGCGGCCGUAACUAUAACGGUCCUAAGGUAGCGAAAUUCCUUGUCGGGUAAGUUCCGACCUGCACGAAUGGCGUAAUGAUGGCCAGGCUGUCUCCACCCGAGACUCAGUGAAAUUGAACUCGCUGUGAAGAUGCAGUGUACCCGCGGCAAGACGGAAAGACCCCGUGAACCUUUACUAUAGCUUGACACUGAACAUUGAGCCUUGAUGUGUAGGAUAGGUGGGAGGCUUUGAAGUGUGGACGCCAGUCUGCAUGGAGCCGGCCUUGAAAUACCACCCUUUAAUGUUUGAUGUUCUAACGUGGACCCGUGAUCCGGGUUGCGGACAGUGUCUGGUGGGUAGUUUGACUGGGGCGGUCUCCUCCUAAAGAGUAACGGAGGAGCACGAAGGUUGGCUAAUCCUGGUCGGACAUCAGGAGGUUAGUGCAAUGGCAUAAGCCAGCUUGACUGCGAGCGUGACGGCGCGAGCAGGUGCGAAAGCAGGUCAUAGUGAUCCGGUGGUUCUGAAUGGAAGGGCCAUCGCUCAACGGAUAAAAGGUACUCCGGGGAUAACAGGCUGAUACCGCCCAAGAGUUCAUAUCGACGGCGGUGUUUGGCACCUCGAUGUCGGCUCAUCACAUCCUGGGGCUGAAGUAGGUCCCAAGGGUAUGGCUGUUCGCCAUUUAAAGUGGUACGCGAGCUGGGUUUAGAACGUCGUGAGACAGUUCGGUCCCUAUCUGCCGUGGGCGCUGGAGAACUGAGGGGGGCUGCUCCUAGUACGAGAGGACCGGAGUGGACGCAUCACUGGUGUUCGGGUUGUCAUGCCAAUGGCACUGCCCGGUAGCUAAAUGCGGAAGAGAUAAGUGCUGAAAGCAUCUAAGCACGAAACUUGCCCCGAGAUGAGUUCUCCCUGAGACUUUAGGUCUCCUGAAGGAACGUUGAAGACGACGACGUUGAUAGGCCGGGUGUGUAAGCGCAGCGAUGCGUUGAGCUAACCGGUACUAAUGAACCGUGAGGCUUAACCUUACA
Molecule: ribosomal RNA, 1839 nt
Filed under: Salmonella enterica
Lineage: Bacteria; Pseudomonadati; Pseudomonadota; Gammaproteobacteria; Enterobacterales; Enterobacteriaceae
Description: partial 23S ribosomal RNA
Rfam family: Bacterial large subunit ribosomal RNA
Source: RNAcentral